This 1854-nucleotide long non-coding RNA is filed under the name Sarcophilus harrisii (Tasmanian devil). RNAcentral describes it as "lncRNA (ENSSHAG00000031555.1)". The record is from RNAcentral. Lineage: Eukaryota; Metazoa; Chordata; Mammalia; Dasyuromorphia; Dasyuridae.
CUAGAUUCUGAUAUUAGUGUUUUUUCAACUAUACCACACUGUCUUCACACUGUCUUAGCACCUCCUUAUUUUAAAUUUAAAAAAACAAAACAAAACAAAAAAAAAAACAACCUUUUAAGACAACUCUUUUCCCUGUUUCCUACUCUAUAAAUGGUUGCCUCUUAGGUUAUUAUCACAGAUGACUGGUCAGAGCCAUGAGAUGAGCCCUGGCAAAGGAUGGAACUGAUUGAGGUGGGAAGGUUCAAUCCAGAAGCUGCUUUCUUUGCCUAAAGCUCUGGGCACAGCGUACAGGAUCACUCACCAACUAAGGCCUUUUGAGGCCAAUAGUUACUAGUACAGGGUUGUACUCUAUUCAGGGUUGAAAAUGUACUUAGGCUUCUGAUCACUGCAUGGGCUUCUGGAACAGUACUCUAACCCCAAAGGUAAAUUCUAAGGAAGACUUAGGGGUUCAUAUUGCAUUCCAGGGAUGCUGCGAAGCUCAGGCAAACAAUUGUAUGAAAAGUUGUUUUUAAAUUUUCCCGAGUCAUCUCACCCUAAAGUACUCUCUCCUGAUGUGGAAUUUCUAUAGCAAUUAUGGUUUAUGUUGAUUCAUUUGGCAACUAACUCAGAGCUACCUUGGAACAGCUCUACUAUUGUUCUGGAUUAUCACUAAUAGAUUUUAUUAUUAACUUUUCAGGUGGUUAUCUUUCAUCUCACCAACUAGACUAGAAAUACCUUGAGGGCAACUCCUGUGUCUGCACAAAUACACAACCUAUAAAUAAAUACAGUGAGAAUCUGUGAUUUCCUCAAUCUGAGGACUCUCAGAUUGCAUUCCAUCUAUAUUUCAGGAAAUAAGUCAUUUACAGUUACCUGAGCCAUAAAGAUUGUGACUUGUCAAUGAUGGAAUCUGAACAAUGUUCCUGCCUCUGGAGCCAACAAUCUGUUGACCAUGGAAUGCUGCUUCUCCUGCACAUGGUACAGGUUCAAGAAAUACUUGAUAUGAAAUGAAAAACAUAAGUGCCAGUUUUCCUAUAAUAACUACUGGUUUGUCAUUUCUCUAAAAAUUAUUAUACUCUACCAUCCAUUGUCUUGCUCCACAUGGCAUUUGGCUAUCCACAUCAGCCAUCUCCUUAUUGUCCAUCCCACUGGCACAUCCAUUACUAAUUCCUAUCAUCCUCCAACUUUCAACCAUUUUUACUUUUGGAACAUUAAUCAAAUCAAUACUAUCAUUACUUCUGAAAAGGGGAUUUCAAAUGGAUUCCGGUGUAAUUCCACUCCCCAUCUCUAUACUGUGCCAAACCAAAGCACUCUUCCUAGGACAGCACUCCCUUGUAUGUACUGCCUGCCCCAGCUGGAAUGUAAGCUCCUCAAGGACAGGUACUGUCUUGGUUUUGUACUUGGAUCCCCAGUUUCUAGCACAGUGACUGGCACAUGAACAUGGGCUUAAUAAAUGCUUCCCAUUUAUGCCUUCGAAUUCUAAACCUAUCUUGCAUAGUCACACCUUCUUCUAGACCUUUGUCAUUUCCCAUGUUUCCUUCCUCACUCUUUUCCUCCUCUUAUCUAUCCUUUAAGUUCCAGUUCCAUAAGGGUUCCUCAAUUCACAGUGAACAUUGCUGAACUCUGACUCACUAAACAAUCAACCAACCAACAAACCUUUAAAUGCCUACCACAUUCCAGGCACUGGACUAGGCACUGGGGAAACAAAUAUAAAGAGUUAAUCACUACAAAAGUAUACAACACCUAAUAGUGUAUAAGGAUUGUAUGAUAUUAUUCAUUGGCGCUUGUCACUUACUACUGUUGAUUGCUAGUGAUUUCAUUCCAGCUAGAAUAAGAUUUUGAAGGCAGAAACACGGUUUUCCCCAAGGCUGGGAAAAA